RNAcentral lists this ribosomal RNA (274 nucleotides) under uncultured prokaryote. Its description in RNAcentral is "partial 16S ribosomal RNA". It matches the Rfam family "Bacterial small subunit ribosomal RNA", at positions 524 to 798 of the family's 1533-position model. The record is from RNAcentral.
UACGUAGGGGGCUAGCGUUAUCCGGAAUUACUGGGCGUAAAGCGUGCGUAGGUGGUUUCUUAAGUCAGAGGUGAAAGGCUACGGCUCAACCGUAGUAAGCCUUUGAAACUGAGAAACUUGAGUGCAGGAGAGGAGAGUAGAAUUCCUAGUGUAGCGGUGAAAUGCGUAGAUAUUAGGAGGAAUACCAGUUGCGAAGGCGGCUCUCUGGACUGUAACUGACACUGAGGCACGAAAGCGUGGGGAGCAAACAGGAUUAGAUACCCUGGUAGUCCCU